Long non-coding RNA from Brienomyrus brachyistius, 332 nucleotides. RefSeq lists it as uncharacterized. NCBI's taxonomy places the organism in Eukaryota, Metazoa, Chordata, Actinopteri, Osteoglossiformes, Mormyridae. The record is from RefSeq and is a predicted model, not a curated record. The transcript has 2 exons.
GCUCCUUUCAGCCGGAGCUAGCGCUCACUGAUCAGAGCAGACACAUGGAGAUGAGUAACUGUACCGGGAAAGCAAGACCUCGCGCUUACAGGACAGUACUGGCGACAUUUGGAAAGUUGCUAAAGGUUUUUCUGCAGUACAAGAAGAUGAAGCUGGGUGAAGUCGGCCAUACCCUGCAAUGCGCUGGCAUAAUGCCAAAAUUGUACUCCCAGCUUUUCUCUUGGCUAUAUGGAAUAGGCUUCAAGUUCACCGUGGAGAGUUUGACAGAUAUAGUUGCAUGAGUUUCAGUUAAAUUGCAUUCAAAUAAAACUAAAAUGAAUGGUAAUAAUUAA